GAUGAACGCUAGCGGCAGGCCUAAUACAUGCAAGUCGAACGGAUAUAUGUUUUUCGGAAUAUAUAUUAGUGGCGCACGGGUGAGUAACACGUACAUAACUUGCCCUCAAGCGGGGGAUAGCCUUGGGAAACUGAGAGUAAUACCCCAUAGAAUUAUUGGACGGCAUCGUUUGAUAAUUAAAACUACGGUGCUUGGGGAUAGAUGUGCGUCUGAUUAGCUAGUUGGUAAGGUAACUGCUCACCAAGGCGACGAUCAGUAGGGGGCGUGAGAGCGUGGCCCCCCCACACGGGUACUGAGACACGGACCCGACUCCUACGGGAGGCAGCAGUAAGGAAUAUUGGUCAAUGGAGGGAACUCUGAACCAGCCAUGCCGCGUGAAGGAUGACGGCCCUCUGGGUUGUAAACUUCUUUUGGAUGGGGCGAAAAAACGGGAUUUAUCCUGGACUGACGGUACCAUCAGAAUAAGCACCGGCUAACUCCGUGCCAGCAGCCGCGGU
Molecule: ribosomal RNA, 497 nt
Filed under: uncultured bacterium
Lineage: Bacteria
Description: bacterial SSU rRNA
Rfam family: Bacterial small subunit ribosomal RNA
Source: RNAcentral